GCCACCAGAUUAGCUCUUAGAAUAAACUGCAUGGUUCAUACAGGGAGAAAUCCCAUCUGAUGUUGAAGACUCUGCAAAUCCCAUAGUUUUCAUGGACCAUUAGGAAAACAGAACUGUAUGUAUUUUUUUCUCAGAAUACCUGUAUCACUUACAGUUCUGUAAUAAGUAUGAUAAUAAUUGAAUCUUAAUUUCCUGGCUGUAGGAGGUGCUGGGAUCCAGCACGCAAUUGGCUCUAUGCAUUAACGUCUGUUAGAACUGCAGUGAAAUUUGGAAUGAAUCAGUUGGAGAUGAAGAUAUUUGGUUUUUUUCUGGUUGGUUGUAUGUUGAAAUUCCUCUCUUGUGUGAGGAGGUGUUUUCUGCCAGAUUAUAGCCAAUUAUACUGGCAGUAUAGUGUGGCAGGAGUCAUGCAGUGUGUUUUUAAACUUUGCAGAGUGAAGUGUGGGUCAGUAUAUUCAUUUUCCAGAAAAAAAGAUGAGCAGUGAGGAGAUAUAAUCUAAUGUUAUGUAGGGCAGAACAUGACGAAUUAUAGGAAGACUAUGCAUGAUUGAAUAGUUAAUGGACAACAGUAAAACUUGGGGGAAAACUGUCCUAGCUGUUCCACAAUAUAAGGAGCUGUGCUGGCUAUCACUACUCAGGAGCAAAAAAGCUGAGCAGUAGCUUAUCAAAUCUUAGACAUUAAGAACAAAAAUAGAGGACAGAAAACAUUAUGCUGCUGUUUUGUAUAAUGACAGUGGUUUGCCUGUGCUUGGGAUACUGAUGGCAUGCAGUUGUCUGUUCCUCUUGUCUUGGAAAGGAUACGGUAGGACUUGGGAAGGGCCAGAGGCUGGUGACAGAGAUGAUCAAAAGCAGAGCAUAGCAUCCAUAGCAAGAAUGACUGAGUGGGCUGGGAGUCUUCAGCCUGGGAGAGAUGAUUUAAAGCAGAUACUAGAUGUUUACAGAAUCUGAAGUGGCAUGAAGCAGCUGGAUAGGAACUGACUGUUCACUGUCUCUUCUAGCGCUACAUGAGCUCAGGUUUGCAAGUGAAGCUAUGAGGAGCUACCUUCAAAGCAAACCAAAGAAGGUGAUGAUUCUUGCAAUAGGCAGUAGAACUAUGGCAGUCUUGCUCAAGCAUGAUGUGGCUGCAGAAAGCUAAAGAGGGAAAAAAGGAGGCUGAGCAAGUAUUUGAGAGAUGUUUUGAGAGUUCCCAAAGGACAAAUUAUAUCAGGCGUGGGAUAUUCUUGGGGCUGACAAUUGCAGCAGAGGGACUUGCAAGGGAGUAUUCUGUAAUGCCUCUUCCCUCAGUGUUUGCUUAUGGGCACCAUUGGAGACAGGAUACCAUGCUGGGUAGACCUGAAUGUGCUUAUUGCCAGCUAGUACCUUUUUGAUAGACUUCACACAGUUGCUUUAUCACUACUUCAUGAUUUUCUUCUCUGUGUGGGCUUCAUUUUGCUGAAGUCGUCUCUGUCUUUAGUGUAAGCUGGUCUAGACUCCCUCUGUAGGCAAAAGAAAGCAAUAGCCAGGAUGACUUACCCUUCGGAGAUACCUAUUGCUCUCAGACCAUUGAGAACAGAGAGAUUUUCUUGAGGACUUGUAUGUCCUCUGGCUGGUGGCCAGAGGUGCACCCAUUCGGGGUGCGUUUGGUUUGAUCUGCCACUGGUGCGAAGCCUGCGGCCCCUAGGCAGCUGUCAGGAUAACUGAAUGACUAAAGAAGUUGUUGCAUGUUGUACUGGUCUAAGACCCCCAUUUCUUGAGGGAUGUGCUUUUUUCCCUAAUACAAUGUAUUUCAGUCCUUAGUAAGUAUCUCUGGGUAUUGCCAUUAAUGCUUUUUGCUUUGACUUUCUAGUGAAUUUCAGAGAAAUGCUUUUAGACUUCAGCACGUUAUCUGCUUCUUUUGAAUGGUAAGACAUGUUUCUUAUUUACCAGUGUUCCACAUCUAGGUAUUUCUAGAGAGUCAAAAUAAACAAAUCUUACUCCUUUUUUUUUUCUCCAUUCCAAGAAUAUCUAUUUUGAAUCGAUAUCUGUCAUGCUAGCAAGAACUUUGGAUUUUGUAUGUUUUAAUGAGUUCUUGUAUCUUGCUUUAGAAAUUUGCAACAUAUCCUAAUUUGGGGGUGACUCAAACUGAGCACCAUUUGGAAUUGGAAUGGACCUCUCGUGGGAAUGAAUUAAAACUGCCUUCUUGUCCAGACUUAUUGUCAAUGAUUCCUGCUGUUUCCCCUGCACCUCCAGCUGAGCUCUCAUAGAGUAAGCACAAUUAGCCUGCUUCCUGCUCCCAAGUCAUUCCUUGCCAAUACCAUGAAAAUGUCAUUAGGUACUUUUUCUACAAACAAUCUCAUUAUCCACCACUUGGUGUCCGCCUCAAAAAAUUAAAUCUGUGAAUUGUCUGCUGUGUCAGUCAAUUAAAAACAACUAUUUUUUACUACAGUCUGUUUUAUUAAUCUUUUUGUUUUUCUGUUGGAAUUCUGUAUACAAGAUAAUUAUGGUUAUGAACAACAAACAUCUGCAAGCAACUAUGAAAGCAAGCAGUACCACCAGCCAGCACCUGCCUACUCAGCUGCAGCAUGCUGCUGGGGAUUCGUACUGCCCACCAAGCAAGUGCUGCUGGAAUCUGGCAUCCAUGUCUUAUACUUACCAGGAGCACUUAGAAUGACAAAAGCACAAAAAGAAAGACGUUGUUCAGAAGACAGGAAACCAAGGAAACAGGAGCCCCGGCAGGAUUCAAAAUCAGCUUCAAUGUGAGCUCUGUGAUGUCUCUCCACAGGAGCAGGUGCAUGUGCGGCACAUAUCCGGGGAGCCAUCACAAGGUGGGAUAGGUUUGUGGAGUUAUGAACAUGACAGAGCUUGCUUAUGUUCUAGAAGUGUGUACAGCAAGUAAGAGAUCUUUCAGAAACAUUUCUGAAAGAAAAAAUUCCGAUAGAAAUAUAUGCUUUAAGUCAGUUCACUGCAGUGAACGAACUCUUGGGAUAACCAGGUGUGAACAUAAGUGUGUUGCUCAGCUUUGCCAAAUGUCCCUCCCCUAAAAUUGUAGUCUAUGCUGAGAAACCGAACCAUUUAAAAAAUGUUUUCUGUAACGUUUUUCUCUAAACUUAUGUUGAAGUGAUGUUACAGUUAACAAGGAAAUAACUUUAUCACUUCAAAAAAACCCAACAACCUAAGUGUAGCAGAAUCAAAUCUCAAGUGUAUUUCUUGAAAUAUUCCUGAAAAUUAUUCCACAAUUGAACUUGUUUUUGACUGUUCAAGCCAAUGUUUCUAAAAAAUUUUCACUCCAAAUGUUCAGUUGUCUUUGGACAUAGUACUUUAAGUCUUGUCUAAGUUAUGGCUUUGAAAAUAUCUGAGCACAAGAUUUGUCAUUUUUUUUUGUUUGGCCUGGGAAGAAGACUGCAUACUUCUAAGAUUAUUGUGUGGUCAUUCAGAGUUGUCUUUACUGGAGUUCUUUUCUAAUGUCCACUUUUAUACCAGAGUAUUUACAGCAGGGUGCCAGUAUUUACUACUCACUCUUAAAGAAGCUGAGACAAGUCUGUUUUGUCUGUGAGAUCAGCUAUGCAUCUGAAGUUGGUCUGCACUGUUCUUUGUAGUUUGUUGAGCCUAGAAACUGUUGUAUGAAUAGAAGCAGCUGACUUCUGAGAACUGCUCACAGAGAAGGGAUGCUGAGGAUGAGGAGGAGAAGGUGGUGUGAGGUAUAACCUGUUCAGAAAUGUUCUGGAAUAUUGAAGGCACUGGUGUCUGACUAAUAAAAAUAGAGGGAACAAGCAACAAACUUGUGGAAGAGAAGGUGAUGAAACCAGAAGCAGAGCUACAACUAUCUCUGAAAAUAUAUCUGGAGGGCUGCUGGAUGCACAACCUGUUUUACAUUACCAUGUAGAAGAGGUUAACAUCUUUCCUCACAAGACAGAUUGCUAUGUGAGGCUUUUGCUUUCAGACACACUCAUCAUGAUUUUUAACAUAUUUGCAACGUAGUUUUUUCAACAAUACUUGAUCUAGCUGUUGAACUUACUCCAUGCUGUUUUAUUUUGUGCAUAAUUAUCUUACUAUGAUUUUUCAAAUAUACGUUUAUGGGCAAGGUUUUGUAUUGUUGAGCUUUUUUUCUGUAGGUAAAUACUGUUUUUAAUGCUGUGCCAGGUGAUGAAACAUUUAGAUUGUUUCCAUUGUUAUUAUUUCAUGAAUUCCUGAGAAUGUUACUUUGCCUUCAGUUAUGAAAUUGUACACUAAGAUUUGAAAUCUAAAUUAAAUCUU
Molecule: long non-coding RNA, 4209 nt
Organism: Aquila chrysaetos chrysaetos
Lineage: Eukaryota; Metazoa; Chordata; Aves; Accipitriformes; Accipitridae
Exons: 3
Source: RefSeq, a predicted model, not a curated record